CUCCAGGAGUGAGCCCCACCCACACCCCCCAAAAAAGAGGGAGGGUGGGUAGGACCAGAGCAUACCAACCUCCCACUGUGGUGCAAAAAGUAACCUCUAUGUGAAAGAGGGGGGCAGGCUUCUGCUCAGCUUUAUACUCCCCAGGCAUGGAGAGAAGCCAGGCCAGGAGAGACACCAACGGGAAGGCAUUGCUUCUCCACAGGCUAGGAAUUAACCCCCUGCCCCGAGGAAGCAUUAUUUCCACCUGUUGCUUUGAGCACGGAAAAUCUCAGAGUGAAAUGCCUAAGGUUAGGUUGCCCUUUUAUUAAGAUAAAAUACAAGACAUCUAAUUAAGUUUGAAUUUCAGAUAGCAACAAAUAGAUUUUUUGCUUAUGUCUCAAAUAUUGCAUGGGAUGUAUUUAUAGUAAAAAAAUUAUUUAUUGUUUAUCUGAAAUUCAAAUUUACCUAAGCAUUCUGUAUUUUUAUCUGCUGAUUUUGGAGAUAUGGGCACACAAAACUUUUUGAAACACUCAUCCCACAAAAAGUAAGAAAAUAAUUAUUUGAUUUUCAGGGAACCUUAAAUUUAUUGCUGAGACCCUGAGUGAUUUCUUAUACAAUCAUAUGCUCAGUGAAAUAAUAGGAAGGCAGCACAGCAGAUUAUUUUAAAUGGCAGGCUUUGCACUCUGAUGGUCCCAAGUUCAAAUUUCAACUUUCCUGCUCCUUACCUAAGGCAAAUCACAGAUGCCCAAAUUAUAGAGAAAGAAACUGAGGCUUAAAGAAAGUAUUGAUGCCUACUUCAUACUUCCUACAGUUACCGUGAUAAAAUUAGAUAAAAUAUACAGAAAGAAUGCUUAACACAGUACUUGGUAUAGCAUAAAUGCUUUAUACAUUCUGAAUCUUACUAUCAGUAUAAAAUAUGCAGAUGAUUGGAUUAAAAGAAACCCUUAUUUGGGAAUAUUUCUCAGAACGUUAUUUUUAUGGUGCUAUUUUACUUAAUAUUGCUAUAUCUCUGUUUGUCUAUAUCUUUCCAACCAGGAAGAAUAUCGUAUAGUGAGUUAAAUUUGUAAUACUGUCAGAGUCUAAUAGGUUCAGAAUGCCAGUUGAGGCUUUUGGUUUAGGAAAACAGAAAGAAGCUAUUAGUCAUUCCAGAAGGGUCAAAGUAUAUGAUGUAGAAAGGGUGGGAUUGGAGUAAUUAUGUUCCCACUGCAUAGUUUCACAUAAUACCUCUAGUUAGCCUGCGGUCCCAUGGCGAUCCCAGUGCCCCGGCAUUUAGAUUUCCCAUGCUCUUUAUAGCCAGUAAGGAGACCAUAAACCAAAUACAUUCUGGAAAUGUAAUAACUUCGUAGAGACACUCUACUGAAUUGGUUCAGGAGAUUGUAUUUACAUCUAUAGACAGAGAGAACGAGACCAUGGACUCAUAUGACACAUUAUUCAUGGGAAGUUCGAGAUGUGAAUGGAGGGACAUUUUAAAAAUACAUUCAUUGUAUUUGACUUGGAUUUAUAUGAAUGGUUUUUCCUCAAUUUCCCUUCAAAGUUAAGGAAGAAAAAUACUAAGGCAAGCAUGGAGCAGUGGGAGGUGCUUGGCUGAUGACCCUCCAAAGGCUCUCCCAAGCUCCUCGACAGCAAGGUUUGUGCUCUCCCUACCCCUGGGUCCUCAGCUCUGAACACACGCCCCAGUCUCCCACACACUGCACUGCUCAGUGUGAGUUAGGGGAUCAAAGACAUUAAAUGCACACUGAAUAAAAGGAUGAGGAGCACUGGCUGACCAAGAAAGAAGAUUCCUCCUUUCCUUCUCAAACAAGCCCAAACAUCCCCCAGGAUGCAAAGAGUUUGAAAAGAGUAGCACCCACCGGUAACUCUGUGCUAAGGGGUAGGAUUUUCCCACCUUCUGUUUUUUUAACAAUUUCCUGAGUCCACUAUUGCUGAGUUUAUGGCGAAAGCAAUGAUUCUCAGUAGGUGGGGGUGGGCAAAGGAGAGACUGGGUACUUUCAAAAAAGUAUAUUCACUCUUCUAAUAUUUUACAUUUAAGAAAAGAAAGCCUUGAUUUUUAUCAUACACACUCUAGCAAGUAAAAUUAGGCAAAAGUCCUGUUAACCAAUAUGGAUAUGUGAAAGAACUGGAGGGGGUACAGGAAUGGAGACAGGAACAGUCUCCAAGGAGAGGGUAUCAGAAUGUCCUUGGCAGGAAGGACAGUCUUGUCUGUCAAAAAGAAGCAGGCAUUAUAUAAGGUCAAGAACACUAGGUUAGAGUUUGCCACUGUGUGGCUGGGAAGAAGCCCCGCACAGAGACUCAGCAGAGUUGGGGGGGAGGGCCCGCUAGAGGGGCAGAAUGGGAGGUUGGCGGGGGCGACGGUGCUGUGACUGCCUUUUGGGAGAUAAUUGAGAAAUUAAGGGAAAUAAGUGACAAUAUUGAGCAAACUUCUCUCAGAGAGGAAAACGGGAAUUUACCUCCUGGUAACCUGACUGGGCUCUGCUGUUGUUGUUGUUGUUGUUGUUAGCUGCCUUCGGAGAAAAUCAAUGGCCCAUGAACCACAUGUGCAAAGAUACUCCACCCUGGACACACUUAUUUGCUGGCUUUAAAAAAAGCACUAUGAACUAGACUAAUUCUGAGUAACUUUUCCUCUAGACUUUUUUUUUAUUGCUGAUCCAUGAUCCUGUGCUCCAGUGUAGCAGUGCCUUGACACUAAAGGAUUGCAGUAUGUUUAUUAAAAGGCAGCUUAGACCUCUUUCACUAUCUUCAUUCCUUUUCCUUAUCUUGGGCCCUUACUUUGAAAAUGGCCCCGUUGAACCACAUUAAGUCACUGGCCUGGGCCAUCAUUCCAUACUGCUGCUCAACAGCGCGUUUAGGUAAUGUGAAGCCCCACAUGCCGUCAUUAUUUCCUUCACUCAGUAUCAUCAACAAGCAGGUUUGGAGCCCUACCCUGUACAGAGAGCAAUAAGUAGGCACCAGGAGGGACAGAAGGAAGGCAGAGUCACAUCCCUCCCCUCAGGGAGGAGGCAGUCUUAGAACGAAAAAUAUGUACACAGCCACUCUAUAAAGCAGAAUGAAUUAAUAUUCUGUGAGAGUGGCUAGCAGCUACGGGCCAUGGGGGUAAUGUGGAAAAAGAUUACUCUUGAGCCAGAUCAGUAGGACACAAUCACCUAAUACCAAAGAAGUUUCCUGGGAAACAUUAUUUUAGAAGGACUAAAUAUAGCAGUGGCAGUAGUAAUAAUAAUAAUAGCAUGGCUUGUGGCAUGCCCUCAUUGAUUAUUACCACGGGCCACACACUAGUCUAAGCAUUCCCCGUGAGUUAUGUUUUUUUAAAAACCCUCCUAACAACUCAGUGGGACUUGUAUAGUUACUAUCUUAUUUUGUAAACAUGGAAACUGAGGCACAGAGCAUUUGCCCAGGUACGCUACCUGGUAAGUGGCACAGCUAGGAAGGAGUUUAUAAAAGUAAUUCAAUUGUGCAAGAGUAUCUAGGAAAAAGUGGUUAGGUUACUAAAACUAUCUGUCGACAUAAUUUCAGUCAAAGUCUUGGGAAUUUCUUAAAGUUAUAUAAAAUGCCAUUCAAAGACUAUUUGUGCAAUGCUUGCUUGAUGAGUAGUUGCAUAAAAUUUUAGGAUUACCAAAGAAUUGAGAUAACUUACUUUUCCGGACCCGUCUGAUAGCUACUUUUUAAACUACUCAUAUAGGAAAGACAAAAAAUAACACUUCCUGAUUUCUACUAUGUCCCAUGUAACUACAUGUAUUAUCUUUUGUAAUACUCAAUAGUGAAAUUUAUACCCAUUUUAUAGAUGACCAAAUUAAGGUUUGGAGAUGGUUAAGUACCUUGCCCAAGGUUUCCAAAAUCCCAUUCUCUUUUUCCGGCAAAUCACUGGGUCUCCCUGAUAGAUUUUUUUUUAACUCUAGAGUUUUCUUGCAUCCCAUUUUCCUUUUAUAAGUAUAUUCUAGUGUUUUUCCUCUUCAUGAUGCUAUAGUCUACAUUAGAAGCUCCUGAUUUAGAUUAAUAGGGAAAGAAUCCAGAACAGCACCACCUACAGGAAUAUAUGGUCCAUCUCACAGAAUUUUUAUAAAAUUGCUGGAAAAUAAAGAAUUCCCUUUGCUGUAGUUCCAGAGUUCUUGGAUUUAACCGUAACUUUUUUUUAUUGUGGUAAAAUAUACGUAACAUAAAAUUUUCCUUUUAACCAUUUUUAAGUGGCAUUAGGUACAUUCAUAUUGUUAUGCAACCUUCACCACCAUCCAUCUCCAAAACUUUUUCAUCUUCCCAAACUGAAAUUCAAUACCCAUUAAAGAAUAAUUCCCCAUUACCCCCUUCCCUAGAUGCUGGCAACCAUCAUUCCACUUUCUGUUUCUAUGAAUAUUACGAUAAUAGCUACUUCAUGUAGGUGGAACCUACAACAUUUGUUCUUUUGUGCCUGGCUUAUUUCAUUUACCAUAAUGUCUUUAAGGUUCAUCUGUGUUGUAGUAUGUGUUCAAAUUUCAUUACUUUUUAAGGCUGAAUAAUAUUCUAUUGUAUGUAUAUACCACACUUUGCUUACCCAUUUAUCUGUUGAUGGACAUUUGGGUUGCUUCUACCUGCUAGCUUCUGUGAAUAAUGUCGCAGUGUCCAUUGAUAUACACAUACGUGUUUUGAGUUUCUGCUUUCCAUUCUUUGGGGUAUAUACCCAGAAGUGGAAAUGCUAAUUGUAUGGUUCAGGAAUAAAAUUAAAACUUGGAUUCUUAUAGAGGCCAAGCAAAACAUUACUGGGCAGUGAAAGGAAUACACCCUGGGAGUGGUUAAGGCCAAAGUGACAGGAGAAGGGUUGUCUCAUCCAGAGAGACAGCCACCUCUGUGUUGCCAGGUCUUCUGUUUUUGUUUUUGUUUUUGUUUUUGUUUUUGUUUUUUCAAGAGAAAACAGAAUCUGGAUUCUUAGGUAAAAUUGCUGACUCAAUUUUUUUUUACUACCUUGUGGGAUGUACAUCUGAUGGCCCCGUUCAGCCCAAGGGUUGUUUAUUUGCAGUCUCUGCUUAACAACAUUUGAAAUUCACCUUUCAUCAAAGGUACCAUGUGGGCAUCUAGCCAAACAGAUGUGCUAUGAAUUCAGCUCCACUACUUUCUAGCUGUUUGACUUUGAACAAAUUAGUCCAUCCUUCAGAGGCUCAGUUUGUUUGAUUGUCGAAUGAACAGAAAUGUAUUUGCCUUGCAAGAUUGUUGUGAAGUAAUAGAUAUAAGCUACCUCACAAAGUCUGCCUUCAGUUCCCUGUCUCUUCUACCUCCUCUCCCCUUUCCUUCCACUGUUUUUAUCUAUCUGCAAGUUAAGAUUUGUUUUAUCAAUUUAUUUUUAUCUAAAUUUUUACUUCUUUAUCUAAAUUUGAUUACUUCCAACUUUUCCUUACAAAUGUGCUGAUUAUCCAACAUUGGAGAAGGAGACUGUCGUUGAACUUUUGUAAUUAUUGUAUCUCCAAUGAUUCUUUAAACAUAGCCUUUCAUCAACAAUAGGAUGAUCUGAGCAGUAAAGAGAAAUGAAUGAGUUUUUCUAAAGCCCCAAAAAGCUAAACAAAAACCCCAACAUCGUUAUGACAAGGACUUUUUUUUCUUUCACAAUUAAAUUCUCAAAUCUGACCUGUCAUGGUUUUUUGAAAUAUGUAAUGCCAAAAAACACUCCUCUCCUUUUGGGUUUUUCCUUGCUCAAAGUAACCAUAUAAAUAUAAUGGUGGCCAGACAUAAUUUUGAGACAUCUGAUUGAUGAGAAACCAUUAAAAUCAGACUACCAGUACAUUACUGAGUUCCAGAAGUUGGCAUUUCCAAACACUUACUUAUUUGUUUUCUGGAACCAGUAAAUCUGCUGGUUCAUUGAGAUGUAGUGACCACAGAGAAGGAUAUUUAAAUAUCUACUCCAGCAUUUGCCGAAGAGAAGCAUUCUUUUUUCAACUGUUUUCUUUUUUGCUCCUAAUGUGGUAAAGUUAAAUUCUGGGAAAUGGUUUACUAAAGGGAAGCUUAGCCACAGAUGUUUGUAAUUCCAACUUAAGUUUCCCAUCAAAGUCUUAAUGAAAUUCAGCUGCCAGCAGCUGGCUCUGAAUCUGAGUCUUUUUAUCAUGAGAAACUUGGGGAAAACAGCAUUCUGAGGCUGAAUGGUAGUGGGAAAAUGUCCAUAUUCAAGCCCAAAUCCCCUGCAUAAAGAAAAAAAAUACAUAAAGAAAUAAAUUCUGUUUUUAAAAAAGAGGAGAGAGGGGUGGUCAGACAUACUUUAAGGAAUAUGCAAUUUAACCUUUUCACUUCCAGGAGUUUCUUAGUUUGUGUGUUGUGUUUUGGAAGAAGCUAAAGAUCUAGUGUUUACCUAACUGGAGUGGAAUACCUACAUUUAUGGCUCCAUGAGAACUGAUGAGUUGGAGAGAUCCCAUACCACCAACAGCUGCAUGAGCACAAGUCUCUUGCAGACCAGACCAGUAAUCCAUGCUGUAUACUACAGCUAAAAGGACCCUUGCGUGCAGUGUAGACUUCAUGCAUUUGUGUUUAUUUUGAAAUCAUGUCCUCCAUUCGUUGAAGUGGCAUGAUUACACUAAAGGAAACUAGGGAGUCUAGAGAUCAGAGAUGUCUUCACUAAAACUGGCCUCAGAGGUGACUGGUACAUGGAGUGAUGUUGUCUGUUUACACAGUGAAUUGCAACGUGUCCUACUGCACGACAGCUCUGUAAAGCCAAAUGUGGACCCAAAGGAAUGUGUAAUAGAGACACCGGCAGAAGGCAAGAGAAAUGUCUAGUGAGCCUCAUACUGUGGGAUCCUAGGGUUGUGGAACCAUCUAGCAUGACAGCAAGAGCCAGAGCCCACAUUUGGGAUCCCGGGCUUAAAAUUGUGGCUGGACUCUUCUUCCACAGUAGAGUUAUUCCACAAUGCCUUUCAAGCUUCAAGGCCACACAGGCUGUUUCCCCCUUGAGGAACAGUGACACAAUUUGACAAGCUGACAGUGCCCUAAAGGUAACCUCUCUUCCUGCUGAUAUGCCAUGAGUCCCGGGAGCAGCAGAGUGAUUCUGUCAUCUGUGAUUCUGUCAAUUCCCCGGUCACAGAUGAGGUCUACAGGAGAGUCCCAUGGAAUUCAGUGGAGUGGGACAAGCCCUGGAAUGUGAGUCUGGAACCAACUAUUCUCGUUCUUGGCCAUGCCACUGACAACAAGAUCACCUCACCUUUCCCAGUUAAAGGGAUCUGGGCAAAUCCCUUCACCACCUGGGUCCUCAAUUUCUACAGUUUAAAAAGAAUAAAACAAAAUAAGCAAACAAAAACAAGGUUAUUUCUAGCAACAAAGUUCUAUAAUUAUCUCAUAAAUAGGUCAAAAUUUAUGCUCAUUGAAAGGAAGCUGGCUUAAGGAACAGAGUCACUCAGAGUCACAAUUGCUGUCCUAGUUAGAACCCCAAGCCUGAGGAGCCUAGAGCUUGAGGGAAACGCAGGGUCCUGACCUGGAGGCUUUGGUGGGUCUUUUCCCUGCUUCCUAACAACUCCAGGCGUGGGUCUGAGGGUGGCCACAGGACAGAGCACCGGCCCAGCCGCAGUCAUGAGCCUUUCCAAGGUGACAUACCAAGGUCCGAUGAAUGCCAGUGGUCCCCCACACCUAGGUUCCUGCGGACUGCCACCUGCCCUAUCCAGACCCUUCGGGAUGACCCUACACUGAAGCUCUACACAGAGCACAGGAAGGAUGACACUGGAAGACGUGAGGGGCAGGGAGAACUACUGAGGGGAGGCCUAUGUCCUCGCAUCUCAACAGUUCAGGGACACGUGACCUGGUCCAGAGAGGAGAAUGUAUUUUCACUCAGUGCAAAAGGAAGGGAAAGUCGGUGAUGGAUUAUUGAUUCAUUACAAACAUCAGCUGAAGUCACUGCCUUGCCGUGUGCACAGUACAGCUCUCAACAGAGACUUCGUGAGAAGGUAAAGAGGAAGGCUAACUUGAUAACCUACUCUAGACUGUGCAAAAAGUGACCUUUGGAAGCAAAUAAUUUCGAGGACCUUUCUGGAAGUCAGAAUCGUCCCUGUGUGAGGGGCCCUGGCGUGGGAAUGCUCUGAUUGUUGCCGGCUACAGGGAACAGGUGUCUAAUCACCGUGACCCAAAGCUGGGCCCAAGGGAGGAAGCAUGAGCACCACAGAGGCUGGCCUUGGAGAUGCAGACUCGCAGUCGCUCCCCGGAAUCAGAACCCGCAUUCUCACCAGAUCCCCAGCUUGUUCAUAUGCACGGUAGAGUAGGAGAUGUGUGAGCCUCUCAAAGGCAGCUGGGCUUGAAAUUUAAUGGACUUAGAGGAAAUUGGGAAUCCAGAAAAGGGAAGGUUUUUUCAUGUAAUUAUAGGGAGGCCUAAAAUAGAAACCCAGCUCAGGGCUGUGUGAGGCUAGGGAGAGGGCUCACAGGCCCACCCAGGUAGCCCCUGGCCUGAAAUGCUGCGCUGUAGAAUAAAAAACAAGUUCAAAGCAAACGGCUGCUUCAGGGAACGUGGAGAAGCUGAAACCAUGGCCACACGGCCUAGGUGCUCAGGAAGGGGCUUUUAUGAACUGAUAGGGAAGGUUGCCUACUUCCCCCUUCUUCCAGCCACCCCUAUCCUUGAAACAGGACCCCUGGAGACUCUUUGUCCUUGAGGGAAAUGGAGGGGAGGAAGGGGAAGAAUUUACUUGUGGCAUCUGCUUGAGAACAGGGUGUUGCUCAGACUCUUCAGGAAAUAGUGGAAUUGCAAUGUUCCCCUUGCUAAUAAGGGAAGCUUUCUAAUUCAGGAUAAUGUGUCUUCAGGGAGUGAGAAGUGUGGUCUUUGUCCUAGGCUAAAAAGAUGAUGUUCAGAGAUAUAGAAGAGCUAGCUCCACGAAAUGAAAAUUGCCAAGGCUAAUGCUCAAGCUGGCCCUCCGCUACAGGGAUUGAGAUCUGCAGGGAAGCGCUCUUGAGUCAGGCUCUGUGCCUCUCCUGCAUCAGAGGGGGCAUCUGCAUCCUCCUGGCAGACUCCACAUCUCCCUGAUGCCGCCUCAGCCCUGAGGGGGACUGUUUUAUAACAGCUUUGAACCCCUUCAAGACAGCCAGCUGACUGGUUUCAAAGAUCCUUUUAGCUUUAACUCCUAAGCAUUCGAUCAGCAGUUGCUGCGUCCCAGGCAUUGUUUUAGACAUUUUAUGUGUAUAAUGAGUUCAUUUAUUCCUCACAACAUAAUGAGGAAGGCACUACCAUUAGUGUUAUUUUACAGACAAGGAAACCGAGUCACAUAGAAGUUGAGUAACUUAUUCAAGAUCACAGUUUAGAAUCUGACUCCAAGCUCAUCAUCUUUGUCCUAUAACGACCCUUUAACAUCGGAUUCUAAAUCUCAGCGAGCCUGACAGUAGCUCAACUAAGGGUCCCCAGUAUCAUCCAGGAAUGCCAGAGAGGUCUUAGUAGUUGACAAGUCUAUAAAGAAUAUUUAAAUUACUGGUAUGUUUAUAUUUUGGCUUUUUUUUUUUUUUUUAGUUAGAGAGUAAACCGACAUCAUCUCAGUAACAAUGAGAGGUUCUUCUUUGGACAUAACAGGAAUAAAAAUUGACAUAAUUUAUGAAUGUGUAUGUUUUCAUGUUUCUCCAGCUAUGCAAAGCACUAAUCAUUUCAGUGGGAUCCUGAGUUUACCUUGAGGAUCUAUGACUGAAAAGAACUCGAUAGAAGGAUAAGGCAAGAAACCGAAAUGUGGUAAAAGCAGGACUUUGGAGGAAAUGAUUAGACGAAGUAUGUCAAUCAUAGGAAAACCAAGUGAAGGUUUAGAAACAGUUUACCUUUUAAAAUUUUUCUUUAUAAAUGGCAAUAUUAAAAGGGAGUUUAGCAACAGAAAAGAUUCAAGUCAGACCUAAAAGAAACAUAAGCUAUUAACUCCUUUUCUAGUGAACAGCUUGUCUGAAAAAAAGGGAGUUAUUCAUUCAGCACAAAAGGAUUAAGAGCCAAGUGCUGAGAAACACCAUCAAGCCACUGAUGGGUCCAUCUGGAACAGACCCAGGUCUCUGCCCUCGUGGACUAGGAGAAGAGCUGUACUCGUAGUCAGAGGAAGUGCACUGGUACCCUGGGAGAAGGCCACAGUAGUGGCCCCCCAAAUUUUCAUGCUCAAGAACAUCUAUUUCUCCUAUUCCUCUGGCUUCAUGUUUUGAAAUAGGUUGCCUAUCGUAUCAGUUUGCUAGGGCUGCCGUAACAAAAUACCACGGACUGGGAGGCUUACAUAAUAGAAAUUUAUUUUCUCACAGUUCUGGAGGCUAGAAGUCCAAGAUCAAGGGGCCAUCAGGGUCAGUUUAUGGUGAAUCCCCUCUUCCUAGCUCACAAAUGGCCAUCUUCUCUCUGGGUCUUCACCUGCCCUUUAUUCUGUGCGUGUGCAGAGAGGGAGAGAGCUCUCUAGUGUCUCUUCCUCUUGUAUAAAGACACCAGUCUGUCAGGCCUUACCCUUACGACCUUAGUUAACCUCUAUUACCUCCUUAUGGGCCCUACCUCUACACAGAGUCACAUUGGGCGUUAGAGCUUCAACACGGGGCUUGGUGGGAGACAUAACUGAGUCCAUAACACCUACCAAAGGCAGUGUGUUAAGCAAUAACUCAUUUUUAAUGGGACAAAUUAAUUAAUAACUGCAAAAGAGAGCUUCUGAUAAAAUAAGAUAAUCAGUGUUACCACUUUGUACUAUCUUCAGCCCAAAGCAUAAACAAACACAAAAAUUUUACGUUUCAUUUUAGCUGUACAUUUCUUAUGAGUGUGUCACAAUUAAUUUUAAGCAGAUAUUUUGAAAUACGGAAAUAGUAUGCCAGGCUCUAUAUUGCCAUCCUUUAUCCCUUAGGUAUCCAGGGACAUUGGGUCGAUCAGCAUCCAUAUCUUUACUCUCCUAUUUUUUAAAAAGUUCCUGCUUCUUCAGGGAGUGCCACGUAUGCUACAAAGAUGAAUGAAACACAGUCGAAGAGAGGAAACAAGUACACCAGCGGCAUAAUACAGCACAACUGAGGUGUCGUAAAAAGCCUUCGAGGGUAUAAAAGAAGCGUCCCAGGUGACUUCAUGGGAGAGCUGGUAUUUGAGUUCAGUCUUAAAGUUGGGGGAAAUUCAAGGCGAGGGGACAGGAUGAGUAAGGACAAAAGACAUGGGUUUCUUCUAGUAAGACAUAUAGUCUCAGCUGGUGGGACUAGACAACAGGGAGCCAUUGAAGACUUCAGAGUAGAAAAGAAACCCCAUGAGAGUUGUGCUUCCAGAUCAACAUCAACCUGGAAACAGGCUAUUGGAUACUUUGGACAAGAGGCCCCAGAGAGCCUGGAAUCAGAGUCAUCUAGGUCAUGCGUUCGUAAUUAUCCAGGAGAGAGGGAGAAGGGCCUGGAUUGGAAUGGUGGCUGUAGCCUGGAAAGGACAGAACAGAUGCUGGGGUCGUUGCAGAGAUUCUCUCAAGAGGACUUGCUGUGUGUUUGGAGAGCAAGGGUGAGGGAGAAGUCAGAGGUGCUGCUGAUGUUUGUAAAAAUGUAUUACAUCAUUGCAAGAAAAUCUCUUUGGAGACUUUUUGACAUACAAGCUACGAAAUCAGUGACUUUCAAGCUAAGGCUUUACCGAAAUGCCUUGGGUAUAAUUUGGGGUGAGGGUGGCUGAGCAGCAGGAAGUUGGGGCUUUGCUUCCUUCAGCCAGAGCAUCUUCUUUUUUUAUCUGUUUUGUAGAUGAGUUCCACAUGAUAUUUCACUGGGGACAAAAAGAUCUCUACUGUAACACAUUUGAGAAUCAUUUGACUGGGGGCUCCCACGUUGAUGUUCCCAAUCAUGACAGUUCUCCGAAAUGUUACCCCAAAUCUUGUUCCAGUCCCUGCCUCCUAGGCAGUCGUCCGGUGGUGCACACACCUGCCUCGGGGCCAGGCCAGCCUGCUGCUUGCGCAGAGCCCCUGAUGCGCUGAGCUCCUCCCCAGCAGUGCCGAACAGGAGCUCGAAAUCUCUAAACAAUUGGUACUCCUCUGAGAGUUAUUUUUAUGCUUCCUGUUCCUUGUCUGAUGAUAUUUUUGGCCCUUUCCUAGGAAAUAAGGAAAUUCCACUUUGUCUCUGUUAUUACCUGGGGGUACUGAGGACAACAAACAAAGGAGUUUUGGAAAGAGGAUAGGGUGGUAGUGAGUAGACCAGCUAACUGGUAUCUUUUGAUCCUCACAGGAAUGGUCAGAUGUUUGCUUGGUUGCUUUUUUUUUUUUAAUCCAAUUAUUCCAUCUCCAUAAACAUCAUCUUCUUCCAAACUACAGUUUCUAACCUACACUCUGAGCUAAAAAAGAUGGUUCUUACGUAGUCUUACUCUUCCCUCCCUGCACGCAGUAUUGGACCCAUCUCUGGUCCUUUAUCUCCAAAGGCCAAAAUGCUUCCACGUGAAUGUUAUGUUUAUGAAAAGGGAGCAAAUAAAUAUUAAAAACUGUACUUUACUUUCUCACUUGACUAAAAAUAGUGACACCUUAAGAAUUUCACAGUGUCAUGAAGGCAAACUUCAGCUUGUUUUAUUUUAUGACAUAUAUGCAGAACACCGAGGGAGAACUGAUCUUCCAAUGAGUAAGGAAAGCUCUCUAUAGCUCUCAUCCCAUAGCUUGAAAGAGUUCCACUUUUAAAAAGCUAUUAAUAUUAGGGGCACCUGGCUGGCUCAGUCAGAGGAGCAUGAGACUCUUGAUCUUGGGGUCAUGAGUUCAGGUCUCACAUUCGGUAUAGAGAUUACUAAGAAAAAUAAACUUAAAAAAAAAUCUAUUGAUAUUGGACAAAUGUUAUUCACAAGUGCCAAAUAUUGGAAUUUCCAAUGACUACUAACUCAGUUGAAAAACAAUGUUAAUACUUACAAAGCUUCCAUGGUUUACAAGGUAUAUUCCUGCAUAUUUCUAUCUUUAUUCCUUGCAACUGUGUUACAAACCAGGCAGGCCAGGCGUCACUGAUCUAAUUUACGGAAACAUGGAGAUGUCAAAUGAAUUUUCCAAAGUCUCAUAGCAUGUAACGUUAUUGAGACCACAGGAAAUUUUAUACAAUUAUAGACUGUUGAGAUGGGAAGAGCCUAGGAAUCGUUGUGCCACCAAUGUCAUUGAAAGAGAAGGAAACUAGAGCCAAAAGUUGAGUCACUUCCUCAAGGUCCCACAGCAGGUUUCUAGAACUGGGGCCAGAACCAAGCUCCCUGGCUCUUGGAGCAGUCCUCUCGCUCUGUUCCACAGCAUGGAUGCCAUCACCAGGACAAAGAAGAGUGAUGAGGAACACCUGGUGACCUGUGCGCUGGGACACGAAACGUGCUGGAUCAGACUAAAGCAUAUCCGUGUUUACUUUCUUCUUAUGUCUUAUGCUACCACGUAUGCCUCAGUCCUGAGUAAUUUAAGUACGAAAAUAUUAGAAGUUCUCUUAGCCUUUUGAUCAUGAUUCUUAUCCCAGUUUUGAAUUUAAUUUAUAACCCUAUCAUUCAGACCUUUUCUUUCAUGUCAGAGAUUUUUGCAUUGGCCCCAUAUGGCUACUGACCCCUUCAAUUCUGCUGUUAGCACCUGUGCUUAGAAAGAAGGCUUUCAAGUGCAAGAAGAUUUCAGAAUUUCUGGCUAGAGUUUUCUGAUGGUCAUAAAAAAAUAAACAACACAUUCUAGAUCUUAAAAGGAAGAAAGGGAAAAAAAGAUCUAUUUCAAAAAUGAACAAUGACCCUUUUGUUGAAAAACAAUUGAAGAGUUAAUUUUUAAAAAUUCCCAGACCACAUCGUGUCUGCCAUCCCCCCUGCAAUACGAUCGUCAUUCAGGUUUCCACAUGACUUUAAGAAAUUCCCCUGUCAUGAAACAAAACAAUAGUAACAUGAGAAAUUAACGAGGAAAAUGAAAUGUGGGAGGGCACCAAAGUGGUCUACUCAGGCAGUCAUACCCCGAUGGGACCUUCCCAGCCUGCUUUGGAACAGUUCAGAAUUUUAGCCUCUUCACUUCAUUAAUACCUGUUUCUCAAAUAAAAUCUGCCAAUGCCCAGCAGAACUGCAGUUGGUGAAAUCCAGGGACUGUCCCAUGAGUAGUAUCUGCUCCGAUGUGCCCUGACUCUAAUAACCAGUAUUUCAGGGGUUGGGGCAGCACCUGGUGGUCAGCAAAAUAGGAAGGUCUGUGGGAGGCAGGACAGCUCUUAACUGCUGCCCACUCAGUGGUCCAUUUUCCAAAUAGCAGGCACCGUCAUCCCCUGUCCUCUCCCCUGGUAUUUGAUGUGAGGAGGAUCCUCAAUAUGGUGAGAGUAAUACUGUAUUUAAGGAGAUACAAACAUCUUUGUAAGGUUAGAGUAAGAAUCUUUAUGGGGGAAGUAUAAUGUUCUUUGUAGGGUGUUUAAAAUCUCUUGGUUUUAUUAAAGGGCUGGAUUCUUCCUAAUCUCAAAGAGUAUUUGUGAUUAUUUUGGCAGAUGAAGCACAUUUUUCCUGUGUUUUUGGACGUGUAAUAUAUCAAAAUGUUCAGUGGAAAUAAGCAUUUUGGUGGGUUUUUUUUUCUGUAGAACAUCUUUUCAUCUGCUCUUCCAUUUUAAUUAUUUUGAAAACUAACAAGUGUGGGACACUUUUUUUAGUUUUCAGACAUUAUAUCUUCAUCUCAGAUGAUCUAAACUGUGUUUUGAUUUUCCUUUGAUUACAAUCUCUCUCCCUUUUUUUAAAUCUGCUAACAUAAGCUCAUAUUCAACUAGAAAAUUUGCUUUCUCCACAAGUUCAUGAGUCAGCAUAGAUUUCCUUCAAGCAUAGUUCAAAUCGUCUUAAGAAAUUUACAGACUUCAAAAAGAAAAGAAAAAAAAAAACACUGAAAUAGUAGUUGAGGCCUUAAAUGAGGAUAGUUUUCUGCUCCAUUUCAGCUGCUCAGAGACUGGGCUAUUGACAAUAGAGUAUUGAAAAACAAGUGCACCAGGUUCUUGCUUUAAUUCUUGAUAGGUUCUACAUAAAUUAAAUCAAUCUUAUAACUACUCAGAGGGCCAGAAAACCAAGUGUUUCUACCACCAUUCUUCUACUCAUCUCACUUUGGGCAAAUUUCACUAGAUAGAAUGAAAAAGGAUAAAAUAAAAAUAUUCUCUUUUUAUAGUUUAAUGACAUUGUCCCUAUGCAUAAAUUAUAACUUGGAAAUUAUUGUCAAAUCCAAGCUUCCUAAGUUUAAAGCCACAUGAGAGUCACUCUUGGAGUUCUGGUGAGUACUAAGAAUUAUUGAGGCUUUUAGGCGUACUUAACACUUACUUUGGGGAUGCCUCCAACAUUAUCUACAAUGUUUAGAGAGAGAAGUAUCUCUGUGGGAGUAUAGUGUAAGCAAGAAGGUUGCUGAAGAUGCCACUUGAGUUUAAUCGUGAUAUUAAGCUAAUCUUUCCAAAGAAGGUCCCAGAAAGUAGAAAAAUAGUAGGUCCAUCUGGUACCUUCAUUGAGGUAGAUUACCAGGGAUGAAAGAUGUCUGCUUUGAGCAAUAAAACAAUAAAAGGCACAGAAGUUUGAGCCUCUGCAUCUUAUGGGGAAUAAUUAAAAUAUGCGCCAUGCUUUCCAGCCUUUCAGCUUUAGCUUUCCUCCUUCAAAACAAAACAAAACCCAACUCUACACAAUAGUCACCUCCUCUGAAGAACCAUUCUUGAUGUACAUCCCCCCACUCCCAUGUUAAAAGUAAUCUCUCCUUCUUCACGCUCUCAGCAUCUCUCUGUACCUCUCCUCUUACAUUAUGAUUCUUAGUACGUUCUGCCCUACCUUACGGUAAGAUACAUAUGCCCCCAUGAAACCCCUGGAGGCCAGCAGUGUCUGUGAUUCAUCUUCUGAUCCCCAAAUUGCCCAGCCAAGUGCCUUCAGUAUGAAGUGCUUAAAAAAAAAAAAAAGUUUAUGCAUCCCUCAUUUACUCUUAAAAGCCUGCUUUGUGCCACAUCCUAAACUGGGCCCCAGGUGAACAGUGGUACAUGAAACAAAAAGACAGAAUGAAUAAAUGACCGUACCAAAUGCUGAAAGCCAAAACAGUGCUGAGUCUUUUGUUUGUGGCAUGUGUACAUUCUGACAUAAUUCGGUCUAUAAUCCUGAUGGCCAAAUUGGCAUUCAGCUUGACAUCAAUAGUGAACCAUGGUGUCCCUAGGCUAUUCAUUCCAGGAGCUCUGCACUGCGGGGGAGAAUGCCUUUUAAGCUAAAAGCUUUGUCUUUCCCACUGUAUAUGGAAAAAUUGACUAUGCAUUUUCAUAGAGAAGGUCUAGUGAAGAAAUGUUUAUAUUGGAACAAGCCCCAUCUCUAAAUCUGGGCUUGUUGCUGAAUGGUAUUUUGUUUCCUUGGAUCAGGGAAGGGGUCUGGAAACAUCUGUAACUAAAGUAUUGUUUUAAAAUCAGCACAAUUUUUCCCCCUCAAAUGAUAGAUAACAGAAUUACUUUAAAUCAAACAUGCUCAGCCUUCCCCCUCUAUUUCCUCUCAUAAAUGUGUAUUAUUCUGUUGUCAUUGAGCGUGGCUGCACACAGAACAGAUUUGUAGCAUUCAAGGCAUCGCCUGCUCCUUUGCCGUCCUUUUCUUUUCACGGUAGUUCGUAUACUUUACCUUCACUUUUAUAACUGUGCUCAAACAGAGUAGUUAUCAGGAUUACAGUAGUUAUUUGGGGCCAAAUUUUAAACGCUACAGAUAAUAUCAGAUUGUAAAGUGAUUCUGGAACUAUCCUCAAAUUUUUUACUAAAAAGAAAUGUGCAGAUUAUUUGUGUCAUUUAUAAAUGUAAACUUGAAUAAAGUAAAGUUUUAAAUUAGGCAGUGUUUUGCCCAAAUUACAAAAUAAAAUGUUUAGGGGAGGGAAGUUGGGGACAAAAAAAUCAUAGGAAACAAUCCCAAAUAACAUGAAAAGAGUGGAAAUUCUAUACCAAUUUUGAGUAUCAUUCAUGUUCUAAAAAGAAUUGAAGUAGUUUAUGGACAGUUCAUGAUAUUAUAGUUAAAAUUUUGUUAGUAUAGAUUUACCAUUUGUUGGAAAAGUUUUUUGUUUUGUUUUGUUUCUUUUUAAAUUAACUCCCUACAACAUGGAGCUAAAUGUUCAGUAUGUUCUAAAUGUUCCUUUCCCAUGCUUUCUAUAAGCACUUGGUGUUUGAUAUAUUUGUUUAUUUAUGAACUGUUUGAAAAUGGCCCUGUCAUCAAAGUCCCUGAACAGACUUUGAUCUUGCCUUGAAGAUUCAUUCUUCUGAGCCUUUUAGGCGCUUGACACAUAGCAGAGACGUAAAAUGUUUGUUUCAUGAAUUCUACUACUCACAUUUUACAAAUUUACAAAUAAGAACACUUGCGGGUAGAGUCUCAUUGUCCUUUGUCUCCCAAAAUUUGUUUCAUAAAAUAUAUCAAUGGCAUUGUGUAGGUUCAACAAACAAUCCUAGAUUUUGAGCCCAUUCCAAGUCCUCUGUGGGAUUUAGCCUCCUUCAGUGCUGAUGCACAAAGGUGUUGGUCUCAUGGUUCUGUCAAAAUUAUAGUGACAGUAUUUUAUUAGUACAAUUUAUGGGUCAUAGUCUUCCUGUUAGUUGGGGCCAGACGUAUCAACCUGCCAUACAUUCUGCCUAACCAGACAUCUGCUUCUGAUUCAUAAGGAAACACCUGCACACAUGCUGAUGUAUAUUACACAAAGGGGCAUCCUUUCCCAAGGUCCAUUGUCAGAUCCCUCAAAUGGAACAAGAGAGGUGUCAAGGACACAGCUGGAUGUCAUAAGACCAGUUUCUAACAAGGGUUAAAAGAGUUGACUUCUCUAACGAAUAAUCUACACUAUUUGCCUCAUAGUCCAUUUCUAUCUGCACUAUAUAGAAACUGUUAAAAAUUGAAACACCAGCUACAAGGUACUAUAUUUAAAUUAAUAAUAAUUGCCAUAUGCCAAAUCAAGUCAUUACAGAGGGCUGACGGGCAAUGUUUCCUAUCUUGACUGAGCACCACACGCAAAGCAAACCUGAAAAAGGCUUAAAAGCAUCCUCCCCCAUCACCUGCUCCCACUUCUCCAUCCCACCCCACCCCAACCCCUUCACCCGCCCUGCCUGGGGAGUGGUAUUAAGAUGUUUUGAUGACUUUGGCAUUCACCUGUGAAACAAGAAGAUAGUGGAAUAACUUAAAUGAGAUUCUUGACAGAUCUGAUAACCAUGACCAGAGUUGAUUUUUAUCCCAAGAUAUACCUGUGAAAGGCAGAGGAGGACAGUGUGGGCUUUCCUGCAGCCCCCAGAAGGGACGUGAGCCUCCGCAAUACUCCCUGCAAUUCUCAAUAUCAUUUUCUUCAUCAUCGACAAGAAGUGUGUUUUAGCCAAAGGAGCACUGAGGGUUGCAUUAACAUGCUCUAGGCAAACAACUUCUGAUAAGUCCCUUACUUCCCUAGAUCUCAGUUUUCCCACAUUUAAAAUGAGAGGUAAGACAAGGUAAUCACUAAGAUCCUCACCAGCUCUUGAGUCCUGUGAUUCUGUAAUAUCAAGAUACGUUCAGUACAUAUGUAUUAAGCACCUGCUAUGCAAGGCACUGAGGAUACAGUGACAAAUCAGACAAAUCCAGUUUCUGUUCUUGGGGAGUUCAGUCUUCUGGGGAGGAAAGACAGUGAACUGGUAACUUCGAGUGUUGCUGCUGAGCUGCGUGCCAUAAAGAGUGAUGGCCCCCUGCGGGGCUGCCAGUUAAAACAGACCAUCGUCGCACAGACAUGUCUAAAAGGAAAGGAGGAAGCUACUAGCUGUUGAACCCCUCGCAUGCCCUUCUGUUGGACUCUAAAUGCACAAUAUUAGUUAAUCCUCACAGCUACUCUAGGAGCUAAUGUUAUCCAUUUUUCAGAAAGAGAAACUGAGACCUUGCAUUAAAUAGCCUGGGUGGUAGAACUGGAACUGGAAUCCAGAUGAUCUUAUGCUUUCCGCUCCUCCAAGUUGUCUCCCAAGGCCGUGACUAUAGGGAAUUAUGGCUGCUGUAAGGAGUAGAUGGUAGUGUAUCACAUCAGUGCACAUGGGAGGUCAAUCAGCAAGGUCUAGAAGCUAGGGGUACCCUACAUGCAAGCGUAUUUGGAGGAGAAAUUGACGCACUCACUCAACGAAUACUUCCUUAACAGCUGCCAGAUGCAGAGUUAACAAAUGAAUACACGUGUGUGCAUUUCUAAAAAUGACAAAGAGUAGAUUUUCAUCAUAUUCUGACAACGGGGUGUGCAAAAUCUAAAGAAAGAUUACCUAAAGGUACAUAUUUGUAUGUAGAGAGAGAAAGAGAAUUUGUAAGCUGUUGGAAGAAUAAGAAAGAAAUGAGAACACAUUUGGGGGAACUUCCCCCUGCCUAUGAAAUGUUCUUCAUUUCCUCAUUGAACAAUUGAUUCACUGCAAUUAUAUUGAGAAACCUAUCAAAAUCGACUACUUGAAAAGGAUCCUACCUUUGAAUACAUCUUAUCUAUUUGGAUUUCCUGGAAAUGUGCUCCAGUGACUGAACAGGGGGGAAAUGUCACUUUUCCCAGAUUGUUAUAAAUUGUGAUAGAAGGGGUCUGAAUAUGUGAAGUGCAGUCUAUCUUUAGAUAGUGCAGUUUCAAUCCCCAGGUGGAUAGAAUGCAAUUUGUUAGCUCUUUUCAGUCUGUUACUAGCUAUUGCAAAACUAGUAUCUUGUAAGAGGCAUUUGCAUCCAUGCUUUUUCUUGACGAUGGCCCCUACUGGGACUACUUAAAAAUCUGUUGUCACUACCACAUUAAUGUUUAGAAUAAUUAUAGCUAAAACGACCUUUCCCCUUCAACAAAGAAUAGUUGUCUCCUAACAGCUGAUUCAAUUUUUAUGAAAUGGAAAGUGGAGCUCAGGAUGUUGGAGGAGAUAAUCAGUGUUAUCAUAGUUUUGCCUGUUCUCAGAGGCGAUGGCCGAGGAAGGCUGAGGAACAGUGCUAUCUAGGAAGGAGACACACGGCUCCCCACCAACAAAGACAGUGAGGAGGGGGCCAUGAGGCAGGUGUGAUUAAAAACAACUGGAUAUAAAUAAUCUUAAACUUCUGGCCUAAUUUUAGCUAAGUUCACACAGUCAUGGUAAUUUCCAGUAUCACAUUUAAUAAUUUUCUAACAAAAGCUGAGUUUCCUUCUGUUUCAGGGUUUUAAAACCAUCCUAAUUGGUCAAUUAACAUUUUUUUAAUGAGCCUUUAAAUAUUUGGUAAAAACAACUUGGAUAUUUGAAAGAGGCCUUGGCCUAGGACUGGCUGAAAAAGAAAGUCAACCAGGUAUCAUUUCACACAUGUGCUGGACCAUUAAAUGGUCCCCAGAUAAAGAGCUGGUAGGUCAAUUAUUUCCUACCAUUGCCAUACUCCUGGGGGUGAUGGUGGGCUGGUUACUCCGCACCUGCUCUCCUCCACUCCCCUCCAGAUCCUAGCUUGGCCCUUGCCUGCCUGCCUCACUCUGCCUGCAGAGGCCAAGCCUUGCUGAGCCUUGCAGACUGCACUACUCAUGCUCCCUCGCUGAACUAGAAAACAGAAGAAGGGACAGGUGGGGUAGUUCUGCCAUGUUCCCUCUCUGCCUUAGGCACUGCUUCCCGGGCAGAAGCUGCGGCCCCCGCAAGACAUUGGUUUUCAUGGUGGCCUAGCCAUAGCUCUGGCCCCCACCUGGGUUAGUGUAACAACUCUUUUUGACUCCUUGGGCCCUAGAGGUAAUAGAUUUGUGUUCCCAUUGCUUCUCCAUUCCUUGUGCCUUAACUUCCCCACACUUCACUUGAACCCCUAAGGUGAAUUCUGUUUCCUGUUGGGCCCCUGACUGACUGACUGUAUCAAUGGACAAGCUCUCUUUUGAAAUUCAUGGCUUUUUCUAUUUCCUUUCUGGUGGGGGAACACUUUCCAAAAGCAUCUGCUGCAAUUAGCUGUUUUAAUUCACAAACUAUUUGACUUUCAUGUAAGGGAAUAAUAAAGAAGAGAUUAUACCAAACAAAUUUAGCAAACUCUGAGAGCAUGAUCUUAAAUUUCACAAUUCCACUUCAUUUGGUUUGAAUCAUUGCUCAAUCUUUCCCUAUUCCCCUUUUCAACUCCAACCCAGCUGGAGGAGCCAACCUUUAGCCUCAGCUUGUGGGUCACUCUGUCAUGUUCUGCCAAUCUAAAGCCAGAGGUGGGUGGGACUCCCACUUAUUAGCUGUCUUGGUCCCUGAGGAGACAGGGUUCUCUGGAUUUGGACCCCAGCUCCCCUUUUAGAAUAGAAAACUAGCCUAUAAAUUCUCUUACUUGAAUUUUAAAAUUUAGUUUCUCAGUCAUUGGAAAAUGGGAGUAUUGUGCACCAUUCCGAGAAUUUACCUCUGCCUGAAAUUAGUACAUCCCAACUAGAAUAAAUAAGCCCUCGAAAAGUACUCCAGAUUGCACAGGUAGCACAGGACAUGUAACUACUGGAAUAAAUUAGUGGAAAUCAAAUUAAGUAGUCUUUUAAAUAUUUUUAGAAAAACCUAAAAGCUGAUAUAUGCUUUAACUAAGAGAGACUUAUAGACAUGGGAAGGGCUUUCCCAUGGGAUGAUGUAGCUGCUAGCUGUAAGAUGAAAAACAAAGGAAGAACAAAUUAGGAAAGGAAUGUUCUUGUGCUUAUUUUUUUAACUCUGUAUAAUGAUCACGGUACAUAGUGAAUAACAAGGAAGUUAGGGAAAUUAUACACAAGCGUCUGAAUCUAUUGUCAAGACCACAUUAGUCACUUCCCAGAGAUGAUGUUUUAGAGACCUCACCAGGUCUAGACAUGGAAAUCCAAUAUCCAGCCAACCUAAGUGGGAUCUUUUGUUUUUCUUUCAUUUUUUUUUCUUUCAUGAGCAUUUGUGUGCCCUCCAUAGAGCUUAAGAAAUAAAAUAUUGCCUAUAUAUAUCUCCUUCCUCAAUCCCAUUCCCCUCUUUUACCCUUAAACAGCCUGAUUUCUUAGAUUCCCAUUCGUAUCUUAUACUUUUCUUUAUAUGUGGGUGUCCCUACAUAAUGUACAGUAUAAUAUUAUUUUGCAUGUUUCUAAAUGCCGUAUAAAUGUAGUGUUUCUGUUUUGCAGCUGGCUUUUUACCCUCAAUAUUGUAUUUAAAAGAUGCAUUCAUGAUUGAAGAUCUUCACUUGUGAGAUUUGUCCAAAUGCCCUCCAAAAUUUCUACACCAUAUGCCCUCAUUUGGUUCAUUCUUUACAGAUUCAAAUCUACUUUUUUCAACUAACAUAUUUUCAAAAUCUACUUGCUAUUUGCUAAUGACUCUGAUAGGUGAUGAAGAUCCAAAGAUGAACAAGUCACUAUUCCUGUUCUCAAAGAGCUCACAGUGAUUUCAGAGAGGCAGGAGUGCAAAUUAAAAACUGUAAGAGCAUGUUCCAUGUGCUCUAAUGAGAUAUGUGCAGAGUGGCAUGGGAACACAGAGGAAAAGCAACUGGGUCUGAGACAAAGGAAAGCAUUCAUAAGUGAUGGAAGGGAGAAAGACACCGCAAGCCUCUUGUGGCAAAGUCAAGGUAGUCAAAAGAAUAUUUGGGGGAAGGAAGGAAAUCCAUGGUUUAAGUAGAGCAGAGGGAACAGAGUUUAGGUUGACUCUAAAGGACGGGUUGGGGUUGGAGUAUGAAAAAGGAGCCUUGUACAUCAUGCUAAAGAAUUUUAUGUACUCAUGUGGGCAAUGAAUGAAGAGCCACUGGGAGUUUUGAAGUAAACAAGUCAUAUUGUAAGUUUUCUUAAAUUUAAUUCUGGUAAUAAAGAAUGAACUGGAAGGGAGAAGUUCUGGUGACCCAGAGAGUAGGGUGGAGAUAAUUAUAAUAAUCCAGAAGAGAAAUGCCAAAAUCCUGAACUAAAUAGUGGUAGUGGGAACAAGGGGGAAGAUUCAUCUUGGUUAGCAUCUCAGAGGUAGAGUAUAAACUCUAUGAGGUCCAGCGUACAGAGGGUGGCUGGACAGGGGAAAAGUCUAACCCAGGUGGAGGGAAUGAGAGGCACUUUGUGUAGAGAGAAUUUUAAAACAAUAAUAAAACUUGCUGAACCACAGUCUGCUUUUUAAUAUCCUCAUGUGCCAGCGUUUCUAAACAAUGUCAAUGAGAAAAUUCUCCUCCCUUAAAAAAUCUUUUGUUGUCUAAGUUCUACACAGUUGCUGCGGUUACUGUUGAGUUUAAAUAAUAUAACAAAUAUGUCAGCUUCAAAUUAGCACAUUCCAAUUACUUAACCUUUAAUAAACAUUGCAUUCUACACAGAAAUUAAUUCGGGGAACUUCCAGUCCUACAGCCCCCCUAGAACAGAUGGAGGUAUUAGUUUAGAGAGUAAGUUUAUAACAGUUCAGAAUUGUGUAAGGCCCUUUCUGACUUGAGACUCUAAGCUCUGUGGCACUCCAUCCGUCUCCAUUUAAGCCAUGGAUUUGAGAUAAACAAUGAUAGCACAGGGAUUGUGAAAAGGAAGAGACAGAACUUGGGUACUUAAAUGUUAUUCUGUGUGCAAACCAUUUUCUGAUUUUUGCCGACUUCAUUCUUGUGGAAGCAUUUCCAAAACUUACAUUACUGCCAAAUGACAUCACAAAGUGUGUCGACAGAAAAGAGCUAUAAGGAGGUGAUCCUGGAGAACAUCAACAGUGUGGAGGCAGCAGAUGAAGAUGAACAGCCCUCCCCUCCUGCCACUCCCCCAAACCCCCCAAGAUACUGAGAAAGAUAAGCAGGAGAAAAACCUGAAGGCAGAGUUGUCCUGGAAACCAAGAGAAGAGAGAAUUUCAAGGAGGGAAUUUCAACCAUGUUAAGUACUAGAAUGAGAACAAGACUGGAAAAGCAAAGCCACAAAGACAUCACCCAACAGCUUUAUCAGCUCUGCGCUGGGUCCUCUGGCAGCACUUCAGUGACACAAUGGAGACAGAAGCCAGGCAGUGGAUAGAGGCAUGGGUUGGCAUGAAGAAAGCAGAGCUAGUGUGAUUGAAUUCUCUCACUCGUGAAGUUUGGCUAAGCAAAAGAGGAGAAUGAAAAGGAGGUAGAGCUGAGGGAAGGUGUUCUUAGAAUCUGAGCCCCAAGGAAGAAGUCACAGCUCAUCCAACACAGGACCCAGGACCUAAUUAUGCUCUGCCUCUCCUCACCCUGUGGAUGCAAAUUGCUGGAUGGUGUGUGAGAGAAGGAGGCCAGGUGAUGGCACAGGGUCAGGUGUAUGGGUCCCAGAGCACCGAGAGAGGGCUAAUCUCUUCUAAUAUGAGGAGUGCUAUCUCCUCUGAGAUGAGCAGAGGAAAUUAGAAUGAGUCAAGAUUAAGAUGAGGGGCGUCUGGGUGGCUCAGUUGGUUAAGCAUCUGCCUUCGGCUCAGGUCAUGAUCCCAGGGUCCUAGAAUGAGCCCUGCAUCAAGCUCCCUGCUCAGCAGGGAGUCUGCUUCUCCCUCUGCCUCUCCCCACCAUGUGCUCUCUCUUUCAAAUAAAUAAAUAAAAUCUUAAAAAAAAAGAUUAAGAUGAAUUUUGAGGAGAAGAACAAUAGUAUGAGAUUUUUCCACCCAAUGACCUCCAUUUUCUCAUUAAAAGAGGAGACAAGAUUAUCUACUGAGAAUAAAUGGGUACAGUAGAGGUUUGGGGAUGUAUUUCUCCUUUCCUACUAAUUCACAGUAGCAUUUCUGCAGUGAUGCAUAAACCCAUGAGGAAGAGCAUAGGGAGAGAAAAACAGGACUGCCAAUCCCUUUGUGCUUUUCGUCUUGAGCCAUCCAGGGUAAGGGUAGCACUGAAGAACUGGGAGGACUUCACGACAGAAAAGGCACAUUUAUUAGCAAAGGAAACUGAUGGAACAUCCCGACCAGUCAUCCUGCCCAAGGAAGCACUACCACCUUCCCUGGGCUCACUGAAAGGAAGCCACUGUAAGUUUAUAGACAAUUAAGCCUCCCGAAUCCUUGUGAAAAGAAAAGGCAAUUUAGUCAGACAUUUGCAAGACCGUGGGGCCAUUAAAGGGUGAUGACCAAAUUGGAAUGCCUAUAAAAAGCACUUAACUCCGUGCCUGGUGUCCGUCAAUAAAUAUUAGCUGUUAUUAUUCAUAAAAACCCAGUGGAAGAUGACAGAAAUGUCUGUCAUCUCACAACACUGAUUCCUGCCAAGUGGUGAAGGAGUCAUGUAAAAAUCCCCCAAAUGCCUAUAACUCUGAAGUCAUUCCUCUCUGCUUGUUCUUCUAGCCCUUCUACACCACAUCUCUUCCUUUCUUGGAAAUGUGUCCAUGGCAUUUGCCCCAGUAAAUUAAACUGAGUCAGUUCUGAGAUAUUAAAAAAAAAAAAAAAAAAAUCUGGCCAAGGCUAUGUUGUGUAACCGUGGCUUGGAAGGUGGGGAGUGAAAAGAACAAGUUACAUGAGAUGAUGUGACGAGGACCCAGAGCAGAAAAGCCAGAUGUUAGCAGAUUUGUUCAAGAAAAUCAAAGGCAAAAAGGCACCGCUAAUGCCCCAUUAUGUUAUAUAAGCGCACUCGCUACUACAAAUGAGCAACUUACAAAGUAUUUAAAGUAACUUUUCAAGGAGACAAUUAAAGAAAUUUUCAUCAGUAUUAAUGAACAUAAUCAUGCCCAAAUCCAACACUUCAAAAAGAAAAUCUUUAUGGCUUUAGGGCUCUAAACUUUCUCGUUUGAUCCUUUUAGUUACACAACUAAAGAGAGCCAAGGGUGAGAAGUACUUCAUUACAGCCCGAGUCUGUUAGUAUGUCCAGUCCGAAUAACAUUUGAUGGAGUACAGGGUGUGUGAAUAGUUAUUUGAGAUCUUUGGGUUGGAGCACUGAUUUCCCUGCCCAGGGGAAUACUCAAGAAGCCCAUAAAAAGUGCUGAGGAAUAGCCACGCUGAUGCAACAUAAAUAGCGUGAUAAAUACAUCUCCACUUUACAGAAUUAAAGGACCUGCCUUAACUCUGGUCAAGACAGCUCUGUGCUUCUCAGAAUUCCUCGGAACCUAAAUCCUUGUCUCUGUUUCACUGGUGAUUAUAUUGAGAGCUGGAGUGUUUGGCAUGCUGGCCAAGGCAUGGCAGACACGGGUCCUAAGCAAUAAGCACAACCAUAGCUCCAAGAGCCAACUAGGAGAAACUAGCACCCCAGUUUGUGUUUAGUGAUGCCCUAGCUUUCUUAUGCCAACUAUAAGAAGAAAUACCUUCAACUGGGUAAACCUCUGAAGAAUUUUGAAACUACUUUCCUAAUCAAGCUAUGGUGAAAUCACUGUCAAAAUCUAAAAAUUAACUUCACCUAUUGAAAUGUAGGGAAUUUCAGUUAUGCAAACAAGAGCUUAAAGAGACCCAAGGGUGGAUCCAUGGGGUAAUUCUGUCCACAUUCAAGUAAAAUCAAUCAAGCAGUCAACUUCUUGCUAACUGUUACACAUUGCAUAGUGCCUUUAACUUAUUUUGGCACUUUGACGUAGCUUCGUAUAUGAACAAACAGGAUGUGUUAAGCCCUCCCUGAAAAAAUAGAGUCAAAUGUUACCAAUAGCCUAAUUCAGGACUGCUUUCCACCCCAGAUACUUUAUCUUUUAUUUUUAUAGACACAGAAAAAAAUAGCCUGUGAGAUGUCUACCCAUGUCAUAAAUUCAUAUGUUCUCAUAAGUCACUCCUCCCCAUCAAAGGCUGCAUUGAUAUUUUUAAAUACAUUAAAUUGAACCGUUGGUCCCUAUUAAAAGCCUCUGAAUACUGAUUCUUAGGUCUGCCCAAGUUUUAAGCAGAUGGAAGUCAGCAUUGUGCAAGACCCACAGACUCAGUGUAAAGGCACAAAGGUUUAGCUUUUAAGUGAGCAUAAUAUUCAAUCUUAAGGUGACUUUUAUUAUUCACUUUAAAAAAUGAAAUUCUCUAAAACUAAAACUAGAGCUAAAAUCAUUGUUGCCUGGAAACAAGGAGAAAAGUAGAUUGAUUAUAUACAUACAAAAACCUAAGCAGAAAGAGAAUUGGAUGUGGGCUGUUAAAUGUGAAGAAUACUAAUUUGGGAGGUAGCAAUGACUUUGGACACAAGUGAAUGAAUUCAGAGAGAUUUUGGUUUGGGUUUUUUUUUUUAUACUUUCUACAUUGAGCCUCAGUAAAUUAAAGCAAAAGUUGAUGAAUCAAAAUUCUAGAAGUCUAAUUCAGAAAGCAAGAUGAGUCGAUAUUUGUAAAAUGUUUGCAAAUCCUUGGUUGAAGACACAAAGCAAAUUUCUACAGUGAUCCCCCCGUCCUUGUGCAGUAUUUUGCUUUCCGUGGUUUCAGCUACUUGAAGUCAACCUCCAUCCAGAAGCAGAUGAUCCUCCUUCUGAUGUAUUGUCAGGUCCCAAUGCCUAUGUCCCAAUGCCUACAUCAUUCACCUCACUGCAUCUCAUCAAGCAGGCAUUUUUUUUCAUCUCACAUCAUCCAAAAGAAAACAGGUGAAUGCAGUACAAUAAAAUAUUUUGAGAGAGAGAGAUCACAUUCACAUAACUUUUAUUACAGUAUGUUGUUAUAAUUGUUCUAUUUUAUUAUUAUUGUGGUUAAUCUCUUACUGUGCUUAAUUUAUAAAUUAAACUUUAUCAUGGGUAUGUAUGUAUAGGAAACAUACGUAUAGGAUUCAGUACUAUCUGCAAUUUCAGGCAUCCACUGGAAGUCUUGGAAUGUAUCAUCCACAGAUAAGGGGGGGGACUACUAUAUUAUAGGUUAGAUGUUAUUGGAAUAGGCACAGGGCUGUAGAGUAUGCUCUUUGUAAUGGAAUUUUAUUAUAAUUAAUUCAUGGUCAUUUGUUGGAGCUGGAGAUUAGGGUCUGAUUCUCUCCGAGAGAGAUCUCAGGAUGCGUCUCACAUGACAACUUCAGACUCCUCCUAAAUUUGAUCCAUUUUUACCGUUGUUUGUUUUAAUGGGUGGUUGGGGACCUCAGAUUCCUAGAGAAUGCUAUUUGAGCAUUUAAAUUAUUUAGUCUAUCAGGCUUUUCAACAGAAAUUCUGAAGGUUCUAGAGAUUCAAUAUCUAUGCAACAGUAGUGACUUUGGGCCAAUUAAUUAGCUCCUCUGUGACAAUAUUUGGAAAACCCAGUGAGAUUUUUGUGAACAUUUUUAACCUAAAAUGGUAUUACUUAGCUUGAGUUUACCACACUCAAGGGAUGCAGACUGGACUAUACCUCAAAAAAGCGUGACUUCAGAAUCUUAAGAAAAUUCAAAAAAUGUUCUGUAUGAUGAUGACAAUAUUAUUAGUUUCAGCCACUGUUCUCAAAGGACUUCUUCAUAUGAGGACAAAAACUAUCAAACAGCUGUAUAAAUGCUAUCCUCUUUGUUAAGAAACAGUCUCACUUUGUUAUCUUAUGAAAUAAUUAGUAUAAUAAUUAAUAUUGUGAUUAUAUGACCCCUGGAAAUAAUGCCUUCUGCAAUAAUAUCGACAUAUGCUGUCACUCCCAGUUCCUUUAAAUAUAAGUGGCAUAUGGGUAUACCGUACCAAUUUCUUCCUAAAGUUCCAUCUAAUUUUAAUUUCUAUAAAUGUAAAAUUAGCCAAGUACACACACUGAUUUUUACUCAGAGCCAGACACCAUACUGAUGAUAACAAAGUAAGCAAAUGACAAUCUCCACUUUUAGUCUUUGAAGGCAGAAGUAAAUGUUAUUGAUUAAUCCAAUCAGUGUUCAAGCAAGAGACAAGCUGUAAUAAUAUAGUAGCUAAUGAGGAGAGCUGUAAAAAGUCUACAGAUGAUUUAGUGGAAAGUAAUUAGUCAAAAUGAUAACUGGGCCGAAAUAAAUUGUUUAAAGAGUAGAUAGUCCCAUUCAAUGAUUUUCAUAUAUUAAUAACUUUAUAUAUUUUAAGCAUGUAUCCAUUUUUUAAGACUUUUUUUCUGGAGUUUAAAGGAAAGAUUUUACAUUUUUAUCCAUUUCAGCCUGCUUUGGACUGUUUGUAGCAGCAAAAAUUUAGAAAUAACCUAAAUGUCCAACAAAAGGGAUUGGGUUAAUAUAUAUUAACAGUACACCAGAUGGUUAAGAGCUCAAACCCAGGAGUCAAACAAAGAAUCUAAAUCCUAGGUCCACCAUUUCUCAUCUGUGUUACUUGGUCUGCAUAACAAACCCUAUAAGCUACAAAGACUCAUCUAUAAAUUGUAGGUGACAGCUAUUACCUUCAUAGGGCUAUUGUGGGCAAAAAUGAGAGAGGUAUACAACAUGACCAAUGCAAUGACUUAAACAGGGUAAAUAUUUAUGUUCAAUUAAUUAAAGGGUCAAUUAAAUAAAUUUGUAUCCUUCCUUUCUUUCUUUUCUUCCUUCCUUCCUUUCUUCUUCCUUCCUUCCUCUUUUUUGUUUUUAUGAGAAAUAGCAUGUUAUACUAGAGAAAGAACAAAAUUUAGAUCUGUCUGAACUCCUUAUAAAGCUGUGUGACACUGGAUACAUUUUUCAUCUUCUCUGACCAGCAGUUUGUUCAUUUCCAAAAUGCAGAUACUUAUACCUAAUGCACAGAGUUGUUACAAAGAGCAAAAACCAUAAUGUGGAUGAAGCACUUACAACGCUUGGUACAUAGGCCCUGUAUUAUUAUUAUUAUUAUUAUUAUUAUUAUAAGGCCUAGGCACCAUCCCAGGCAGUAUAAACCCUCUGAAUGCUCUCCCAUGUUCAGCUACCCAUGUGUUUAUACAGUUGUAUGCUAUAGGUCAGGUCUUCUCACAUGGGCAAAAGUGUUCAAUGUCAUCUAAAAAUUGAUUAUAACACCUCUCUUGCUCACACACACACAUAUAUAAACAUAAACACCAUCUUCGUUUAAUAAAUUGUGGAGAAUAUUCCAAAAGAAACCAGGCGGACAUUAAUUUUCUCUGUGGGAAGACCACUCAGCUUUCAAAGUCUCUAAAUAACACAGGUCUUAGAAUCACUAAGCCAAGAGAUUGCUAACCAGGAACAAAACUAAAAGUAACUCUGCUUUCAUUCCUGAAAUUAUCUGCCUUUUAAUAUUAUAACAAAGGUCAGUUUGGCCAGUUCCUAUAGAAUUUCAAGAAGAGAUUUAGGGAAAAUUAACAAAACGUUCUGGAGCCAUGACAAAACAUUUCUACGUAAGAGGAACAACAUGAUAUAGCUCUUCCUUGAGGAUACUCAAACUUCUCUUGAACCACUUAAUUAUUUGCCAUUCUGAGAAAUCCUCUAAGGUCCUGCAACACAAAGGGUCCAAGAUAUCCAGUGCAUGUAGUAGUCGUAUCAGAAGCACCCAUGCCCAAGGCUUCCAUUAACCUGAAUGGUGCCUUUACACAAAUUUAAAAAUGGCGGCUCCCCUCUGGACAGAUGAAUUAGAAAAUAUAAUCUUUCAGGUGUACAACGCCCAAAAGGAAAGAAGUUGGCCAGGUUUCCGCCCCACCUCAUCCUCUCCACAGAGUGCUCCACGUGACCCUGUCCCUGGCUCCCUUUUUCUUCCCAUCUCCCACAGUUUAAGAGACGAGCCAAAUCCAUUUCACACAAGGUCAGAGCCUUAGCCUGGGGAAUGGGUAAGUGGAUAAUGACAGACUCUCUGGGUGAAGUCACCUCCUAAACUUGGCAUAACAUAAAGAUUUCAUUGAGCACAGUCCAGUCUAGGCAGUGGCUGCCUGGCCUGUGUUGAAAAAGAUUGGAGACCAAAUCCAGCCCUAGCAGGGAGCAGUAGGUAUAUUAGCAGCAUAAACCAUUGGUUUCCAACAGCACAUAGGCUUCAGAUUUCCUAUCCUAGUCCAAACUGUUGAAAUCACAAGCAUUUGUGGAGCAAUUAAUAUGAACACGGCACUGUGAGAUGCUUUAGGGCAAUUCUUAAUCACACAUUGAAAUCUUCAGGGGACUUUUAAAAAAAUAAAUAAAAAACAAAAACAGAUCCUUGUAAUUUUUCUGUACAUCUAAAGCUAUUUUAAAAUUCAGAAUUUAUCAAAAAAAAAUUUUUUGCUAUGGUUAUUUGGGAUUUUUUUCUGUGUUGUGUGAUUUUAUUUUUGUUCUUUGAAUAUGAAUCUCUUGAUUUAGCUAAGCCCUCAAGGACAUAAGGGAUUAACUGCUGUCAUAUUCAAAAUGAUGCAUUUUUCAGGGCAAAUCUUAAUUUUCUUUGUCUUCUUUAGAUGAAAGAGCAGCAAAAAUGCCCAAAAGACUUGAACUAAUAUCAGUUUAGAGCACCCUUACUGAAACUUGAUACGUUGGGCCAGAGGCAGGUCCUUACUAUAGUUGAUGAUACAAGUAGAUCUUCUCACGUUCUGUUUCCAGGCAUCACUACCAGAC
Molecule: long non-coding RNA, 30832 nt
Organism: Mirounga angustirostris (Northern elephant seal)
Lineage: Eukaryota; Metazoa; Chordata; Mammalia; Carnivora; Phocidae
Exons: 2
Source: RefSeq, a predicted model, not a curated record